GGCCUUUAGAAUUUAAUUUAAGGUCUGACCUGCCCAGUGAUGAAUUUAACGGCCGCGGUAUAUUGACCGUGCAAAGGUAGCAUAAUCAUUAGUCUUUUAAUAGAGGGCUGGAAUGAACGGUUUAACGAGGAAUUGACUGUCUCAUUUUAUUUGUUUUAAAAUUUAAUUUUUUAGUUAAAAAGCUAAAAUAAUAUUGGAAGACGAGAAGACCCUAUAGAUCUUUAUAUAAUUUUUUGUAUUUAUUUAUAUAUUAACAUAAUUGUAGUAAAAUUAUAUUUUGUUGGGGUGACAAAAAUAUAUAAUUAACUUUUUCAUUUAUUUACCAUUGAUGUAUGAUUUUUAGAUCCAUUUUUAGUGAUUGCUAGAGUAAGUUACCUUAGGGAUAACAGCGUAAUCCUCCUCCAGAGUUCAUAUUUACAGGAGGGCUUGCGACCUCGAUGUUGGAUUAAGAUAAUAAUUAGGUGUAGCCGCUUAAUUUAUAGGUCUGUUCGACCUUUAAAUUCUU
Molecule: ribosomal RNA, 505 nt
Filed under: Sympetrum eroticum
Lineage: Eukaryota; Metazoa; Arthropoda; Insecta; Odonata; Libellulidae
Description: partial 16S ribosomal RNA
Rfam family: Bacterial large subunit ribosomal RNA
Source: RNAcentral